Molecule: non-coding RNA, 73 nt
Organism: Blastocladiella britannica
Lineage: Eukaryota; Fungi; Blastocladiomycota; Blastocladiomycetes; Blastocladiales; Blastocladiaceae
Source: the annotation of a GenBank genome assembly
GGGCGUGUAGCGCAGUGGCUAGCGCGUCCCCCUCCGGAGGGGAAGGCCGGGAGUUCGAACCUCCCCUCGCUCG